RNAcentral lists this ribosomal RNA (494 nucleotides) under uncultured bacterium. RNAcentral describes it as "partial 16S ribosomal RNA". It matches the Rfam family "Bacterial small subunit ribosomal RNA", at positions 28 to 507 of the family's 1533-position model. The record is from RNAcentral.
GGCGAACGCUGGCGGCGUGCUUAACACAUGCAAGUCGAACGGUGAAGCGCCUUCCUUUUUGGUGGGUGUGGAUGAGUGGCGAACGGGUGAGUAACACGUGAGUAACCUGCCCCCUUCUUCUGGAUAACCGCAUGAAAGUGUGGCUAAUACGGGAUAUUCUGGGUCUGUCGCAUGAUGGGUCUGGGAAAGAUAUUGUUUCGGUGGGGGAUGGGCUCGCGGCCUAUCAGCUUGUUGGUGGGGUGAUGGCCUACCAAGGCGGUGACGGGUAGCCGGCCUGAGAGGGUGGACGGUCACACUGGGACUGAGACACGGCCCAGACUCCUACGGGCGGCAGCAGUGGGGAAUAUUGUACAAUGGGCGCAAGCCUGAUGCAGCGACGCCGCGUGAGGGAUGGAGGCCUUCGGGUUGUGAACCUCUUUCGCCAGUGAAGCAGGCCUGCCUCGUUUGUGGGUGGGUUGACGGUAGCUGGAUAAGAAGCGCCGGCUAACUACGUG